Molecule: ribosomal RNA, 407 nt
Filed under: uncultured bacterium
Lineage: Bacteria
Description: partial 16S ribosomal RNA
Rfam family: Bacterial small subunit ribosomal RNA
Source: RNAcentral
GACGAACGCUGGCGGCGUGCCUAAUACAUGCAAGUAGGACGCAGUUGCGAACGGGUGAGUAACGCGUAGGUAACUGCCCAUUAGAGGGGGAUAACUACUGGAAACGAUAGCUAAUACCGCAUACUAGUAGAUGGACCUGCGUUGUAUUAGCUAGUAGGUAGGGUAAUGGGCUACCUAGGCAACGAUACAUAGCCGACCGGAGAGGAGGAUCGGCCACACUGGUACUGAGACACGGCCCAGACUCCUACGGGAGGCAGCAGUAGGGAAUCGUCGGCAAUGGUGGGAACCCUGACCGGGCAACGCCGCGUGAGGGAAUAAGGUUUUCGGAUCGUGAAGCUCUGUUGUUAAGGAAGCGGUACUUAACCAGAAAGGGACGGCUAACUACGUGCCAGCAGCCGCGGUAAUUC